Molecule: ribosomal RNA, 162 nt
Filed under: Heracleum moellendorffii
Lineage: Eukaryota; Viridiplantae; Streptophyta; Magnoliopsida; Apiales; Apiaceae
Also listed under: 7 other names
Description: 5.8S ribosomal RNA
Rfam family: 5.8S ribosomal RNA
About the family: 5.8S ribosomal RNA (5.8S rRNA) is a component of the large subunit of the eukaryotic ribosome.
Source: RNAcentral
AACGACUCUCGACAACGGAUAUCUCGGCUCUCGCAUCGAUGAAGAACGUAGCGAAAUGCGAUACUUGGUGUGAAUUGCAGAAUCCCGUGAACCAUCGAGUCUUUGAACGCAAGUUGCGCCCGAAGCCAUUAGGCCGAGGGCACGUCUGCUUGGGUGUCACGC